RNAcentral lists this long non-coding RNA (986 nucleotides) under Setaria italica (foxtail millet). RNAcentral describes it as "long non-coding RNA (SITA_LNC006680)". The record is from RNAcentral. Lineage: Eukaryota; Viridiplantae; Streptophyta; Magnoliopsida; Poales; Poaceae.
GCGCCAUCUCCCCGGUCCCCUACCUCCCGCACGCCGCCGGACCCGCUCCUUGCCGUGCCGGCCACCGCGACGCCACCUUCCGCCGCCCACGCCAUCGACUCGGGUGCCCGGCCCCUACCCCGCCGUACGCCGUCCGCCGGCCGGACCCCCACCCCUGCCGCCGGCUUGCACGCCACCCCUCCGGCCUAUAAAAGGGGCACCGCCCCGGCCGUCUCCUCCACCCCCGCUCCAUCCUCUUACACCGCAAACCACCGCCGCCACACAAGCCGCCGCCGCCGGCACCUCCACCACCCGAGCCACCACCGCCGCCGCCAAGACCCGCCGCCGGCCACACCCCUUCCCCUACUCGAGCCCCCAAAGUAAGUAGCCAAAUGGAGCUCCCUUCCACCGCCGCCUCCGGCCCGAGGCUCGCCGCCGGCGGAGCCCCGCCCGCCCGGCCGGCCGGCCGUCGGCCCUCUCUCUCUCUCUCCCUCUCUCUUCCUCUGUUUCCUGGAAGAAGAAGGAGUCAAAACUCCAAGAAUUCCGAUCUAACCCCCAAGUUUCCCCAAAUUACACAUAAGCCCCUCCACUUCCGAAAGAAACUACAAAUAGGUCCCUGGUUCAUUAAAAAUCAGCCCUAAACCUCCGUUUAAGCCCCUAAUCCCUGUUUAACCCGUCAUUUCAUGUGCCAAACUUCCUCCAAUUAAUCCCAAAAUUCACCACGUCAUCCUCCAGAAUACUUUCGCCGAUCCAUAUCCAAAUUUCCCAAAAAUAAUCCCUCUACCUAUUUUCCGUCCGCAUUUCAUGUUCGGAGCUCCCGGUUAAAAACCGUUUUCUCUUUUAUUUAUUUGUGUGUCUGUUUGUGUGUGCCGUAGAUCGCGGAUUGCCCGAGGAGGAGCCCGAGGAAGAGUUUGACCGCGAGCCCGAGCCCGAGGACCAGUACCGCGAGCCGGAACUCCCGGAAGGCUUUGAAGACGGCAAGUCCAACCUCACCCUUUUGAUGCAUA